GAUGAACGCUGGCGGCGUGCCUAAUACAUGCAAGUCGAGCGAACAGACGAGGAGCUUGCUCCUCUGACGUUAGCGGCGGACGGGUGAGUAACACGUGGAUAACCUACCUAUAAGACUGGGAUAACUUCGGGAAACCGGAGCUAAUACCGGAUAAUAUAUUGAACCGCAUGGUUCAAUAGUGAAAGACGGUUUUGCUGUCACUUAUAGAUGGAUCCGCGCCGCAUUAGCUAGUUGGUAAGGUAACGGCUUACCAAGGCGACGAUGCGUAGCCGACCUGGGAGGGUGAUCGGCCACACUAGAACUGAGACACGGUCCAGACUCCUACGGGAGGCAGCAGUAGGGAAUCUUCCGCAAUGGGCGAAAGCCUGACGGAGCAACGCCGCGUGAGUGAUGAAGGUCUUCGGAUCGUAAAACUCUGUUAUUAGGGAAGAACAAAUGUGUAAGUAACUAUGCACGUCUUGACGGUACCUAAUCAGAAAGCCACGGCUAACUACGUG
RNAcentral lists this ribosomal RNA (497 nucleotides) under uncultured bacterium. RNAcentral describes it as "partial 16S ribosomal RNA". It matches the Rfam family "Bacterial small subunit ribosomal RNA", at positions 28 to 507 of the family's 1533-position model. The record is from RNAcentral.